UGUAUCUGUCUGUGUGGACAACUCGAGAUUUGGAGUGUGAUCCGUGGCCUGGGCCCUGGGCUGCCUCAGGACACUGCCCCAGCCAGCCCAGUUCAUUGCAGAUCCUGUCCGGCCUCGAGGAGGUUGGAGCCUCUGCUCUCUGGGGUGCAGGGGAACAGCACGGGUCUCCACAAAGGCUGGACACCACCUCGGGUGAGACGGCUCCGGCUCCUGUGCCUCUCUGCAGCGUGGUCAUCGCUGACCCUGGAGCAAGCCAGCAGCUUGCCACCCACCCAGAAGGGCCAGCCCCAGGGAGUUUGAGCCAGGGCCCCCCAGAUCUCUGCCUCUGUCUCCACGGGUCUGAGGCGGGGAGGCUGGGACCAGGCCCUUCCUCUGCAGCAGCUUGGGCUGAACAGCUUGGUCCCCGGGAUAAACACUCCCCAGAGGUGGCGCUGGUGGUGGUGCCGCCCGACUCUGCCUGUCCCCUCCACCCCAGCUCUUUGUUCCAGGGACCACAAGCAGUGCAGUCGCACGGACUCCCAGUGCCAGCUCUCUCCUCAAGGCUCUACGCCUCAGACUCGACACUGGGAUCCAGGCCGGGAGCGACAUCAGCAAACCUGUCAGCGCUGUCAGCCCAGGUGCGACAGUGCCAUCUUCCUAAAUUGCCGCUAAUCUGCCACAGACCUCUCUCCCCACAGCCCCCUGAGCUGUUUGCUCACAGUCGGUUAACACCUGAAAUCUCCCCUUCACGGUGCCACACUUUGCACUGAGUCGGGAAGAGGCACCAGAGAGAGGCGCGAGCCCCGGGUUUGGGAGCUGGAGAAGGCUGAUUAGCUAUUCAGGGAGAAUAAUCUUAUUGCGCUAGUAAGAGCUUCGUGAAGAAUGCCUCUCCCUUCCCAGGAACAAUCUUCUAAUUAUGUUGUCACGUUGCCGUUGAGUCCCCGGUGCCACCAAGAAACCGUUUUCUGUGUUAGAAAGAGAUCUCCAGAUUCGGGUGCUGUUUGCUGAUUUUUUUAUUGUUUAAAGAAUCUGUAUGUAUUAAGCCAAACAUUAAAAAAUGAUUCGUGUGCAGCGUAGUUGCCGGGAGCGGGCGGCCCCGUGGGGCACCCCGGCCGUGGGGAGCCGGGUAAAGAUCAGAAUUGCCAGGCUCAGGAAGCCUUGCCUGGUGCUGAAGCGCUCUGCGGAUCCACGCGGCUUGAUGGGUGGGCGGGCGGUGGGCGGUGCAGCUGUGGGUUUCUGUGCGAGACCAACAUUUCUGGCGAUCCAUGCUCUCCGUGGAGGAGGAGAAGUCAGAGCUGAGCACUCACGCACCCUCCUGGUCCUGCUUCGGGCGAGAGGGGAAGAAAAGGCGCGGCGCGAUGUGCGCUCUGACCUCAGGCCGCCUUCCGGGCGGGGGCGGGCGCAGCGUCACCCGCCAGAUUCAGAUAAGGAGAGGAGGUGCGCCUUCUCCGAGCUUCAAACCGCGGCAGAAAGCCCCAGGGUCACGAGUCCCUCGGGCAUGAACCAGGCGGAAGCAGAGCUCUGCGGUCCGGGUGCGGCCGCGCCCUGGGCUUGGCCAGCCAUGCGGUGCGGCUGCGUGCGGUCUUCAUGCUGACAGAGCUGCCGGAGGACUCGGGCUGGUUCUGGCAGAGACCACAGUCACACAUGUGACGUGUGGAGCCACCUCUUCACGCCUGGGCCGUGUCAGAAGUCGCUGGCAGCCACACAAUGAGAUGGCUCCACCAUGCGCAGAGGGAGCUCAGGCGCAACCAUGUUUUCUGACUGAAUUUUCAUGGGCGCGCGCUCGUAGCACAAACGGUCCCCUUGCGGGUGGGGAGCUGGCGCGCACACGCACAUCUCUAUUCUUCCUGCGUCCUCCCCUCGUCUGUCCCCUCCCCCCGUACCUCGGCCCUGUCCUCCUUUGCACAAGAUCCGUCCCCUUGCUGUGGUUCCUGUUUCCUGAUGGGGCCCAAGGGUCCCCGCUCCGGAGGACGACCUUGGCCGGCGCCCCCACCCUUCCUGGGGGCUGGCGGGCCACCGCUGGGGGCUGCGCUGGAGUGGGGGGCUGCAGGAGAGGCCAGUAGGCCCCGGCCUGGCGGUUAGAGAUGGGGGCUGUGGGUGCGGGAGGGAAGGAAGGGGGCGUCAGGCAGAUGGCAGGCGGAAGACCCCAAGGAGCACAGGAUGGCUUAAGGCUCAGCAGACCCCCGAAUCUCAGCCCUGAGUGGGUGCAGUGCCUCCUGCUGGGGGCCGGCAUGGCAACCUCUGCCGCUGGAGCAGUGAGAGGACAGGGUUUGCACGGAUGCCUGUAAUCCUAGAGCUAUGGGAGGCUGAGGCAGGAGGAUCACAAGUUUGAACACAGCCUGGGCAACUUAGUGAGACCCUGGCUCAAUAUAAUUAUCAAAUUUGAAGAGGGCUGGGGAUAAAGCUCAGUACAAAGGUCCUGGGUUCAAUCUUCAGUACUGCAAAAUAAGAAAAAGAAAGAAAUGAAGGAAGAAAUGAAAGAAAGAGAAAGAAGAAAAGCCAAUCAUUCAUCAUAGUUGCUGUAGGCCUAGGAGGAAGGCAGGGUGUACACGAGUUGCUCCGGGAAGUGUGCAUCUUCCAUAGGAGCCAGCGCAGCCUUCGGGGCCUCUGCAGAGCCCAUGCCUGUCCUACCUCUCCCCUCACGUUGUCUUUGGUUUCCAGUGGGCGAUGCAUGGACAAAUUCGGACGCAAAGCUCCACCUGAGCACAGCCCUCUGCCUGUCCCUCGAGGUCCCAGCCCUUCCUGUCUGGGCUGGACAGAAAGGGGGUGCAGCUCGACGCACUGAAGCCCGGGGAGGGAGGACAGCGCUGCCCACGGCUCUUGCAUGAGGGUGCUCUGCAGUCACACGUGAUCACAGCCCGCAGCGCACGAGGCCCUGCUGCCAUAGCUGCCUCUGAACACAUAUGUCUCUCACAGGCCUGCAGUCGGCUCUGCGCGGUGGAUGUGGGAACCCAGCCACGGCAGCCGCCCCCUGUGCUGCACGGCGGUCAGAGCACACAGACCCCAGCGCCAGCCGUCAGCCCUGUGUCUCCAGGAACUGAACAUGUGUCCUCCACGUCCCCUUUGCUCCCUCAGCACCCUGACAACAUGCGGGGCCCGACUCCUGAGCUCCCAUCUGCCUAGAGGCACCGUGUGCCUGCAACCCUGGGGCUCCGGACCCCGCUCUGCCUCCACAGGGCCGAGGUUGGUGUCCGUCAGUGGGCUCUGCACCUUGAAGAUGCUGAGCCCUCUGCAUUGCACAGUGGAGACUGCCAGAUCCCCCAAGGGCUGCACAGGAGAGAGCAAAGCCAGGCCCAGGGCUCAGCAGGCAGAAGGAAGCCUCAGGCAGGCAGGGUGGUGGCAGGUGUGCGAGGACCUGGGCUGGUGGAGGAGCCACAGGGCACCCCCGGGCACGGCUCAUCCUGAGGCAUGUGGCAGAGCGAUGCCUGGGUAGAGGGCCGGGGAAGGAGCCACAGUGUCCCAUCGUCCCCGGCCUGCAGCAUAUGACUGUCCAGUUUACUGCUGUGAGUCUGGCCUCCUUCAGGACAAAAUGCCAGACCUGAAAUCUCUUGGAUGCAGCCCCUUUGGAGCAGUGCUGGUGUCCACAGGCCCCUGACCUUCUUCCUGAAGAGCGAGGCCUGGACUCAGCACAGGGGCCGCAGGUGGGAGAAGCCUUCCCAGAGGCCGUGGGGGCUGAGAAGUUCCCAGGAGGGCCAGGCCUUGCACUGUCCCAGUGGCCACCUGGAGACAGCAAAGCCGCCUGGGGUGCAUCCCACCAAGGAGGCUGCCAGGGAGACAGCAGCCACUGAGGACACCUGAUGUCUCCGACCUGGGUGCUCACAGAUGGGGCUAAAAACACACUGAGUUGUAACGAACCACAAAACACGCAUUCAGGGUCUGUUCACACAAAGCAGCGGGAUAGCUGUCCGGAGCAACAUCAGGGAAACACAUGGCCCAUCCCUCAGGAUUCCAAGGUGAUGGCACAGUAUGAGAUAGCAGGGUGCCAGGGACAGCGACAUCUUUGCCCUGGCAGGUGCCACCCCGAGCAUCAGGCCUGGAACGGGCACAGGUCAGACUGCGCCCUUCCCAGCCUCGGUGACCAGGCCCAGCAGAACCUCCUGGCUUCCUGACCACCUCCCAGCCUGUACCUGUUCCGGAUCAGCACCCGGUGAAGCUCCAUGUGGAUUACAAAUGGCGAAGGUCAGAGCAGGACAGACGAUCCAGUUUCAGAACUUCUCUCUGCAUGAGGACUACCGGCCAGGCGUGGGCUGCCAGGUCCCGGGCAGGUCAAAACAACUGUGAACGGUCAAUGUGCUGAAUCGAUUCAGGACAUGGAGGCAGCCAAGGCAGUGCAGCUGAAGACCCUCAGGAAAGAGGACUCCAGAGCGGCUGCAGAAAGCGGCAAGGAUGGUGGGAUGCAUGUGUUCGGAGGGAGGGGGAGGAUUCUGAAGGGGCUGUGGCACUGUGUCUUUUACUAUAAAGUUUUGUAAAUGUAAGGAGAUGUAAGCAUUCACUGUCUGGUUUUUUUUUGGUGCUGGGGAACGAACUCAGGUCCUUGCGCUUGCACAGCAGGUGGCGAAACCACUGAGCUAAAUCCCCAGCCCUCAUUCACUGCAUUUUUAGUAAAACUUCAUGGUUCCUUGCAUUCUGCUGGUUAGCCUGGAACUGCUGCUCUGAACCCAGGCCUCUCUUCACAGUAGGUCGGUCUGCCUAGACUGGCCAGUGGCGCAGGAUGGAGAGGAGUGUUGACAUGGGCCUGUGUGGGCACCGGGAGAAUGUGGGCCUGGUCAAAGCAUUCAGCUUCAUGUGCUGUGAAGGAGGCACAAAGGCUCUUUCUGGAAACCCAAGACCGGAAGUAGCCACCCCCACUGGAGUCUGCGACCCCAACUGAAACAGCCCCACAGCUAGGGUGUGCUGACAUUUUAGUAUCUGCGUGUAUCCGGCCAUGUGAGCAACUGCCUUUCUCUACUUUAGGUAACUUCUGUUAAAGCCUAUAGCCUACAUCUUUUUUUUCCCUACAUCUUUUGGCUCAACUGCUAGAUUAUUAUGAUAAAAGAAUAUUUAUGUUUUUAUCUUUUCUUUCUUCUUUUGUGAAUUAAAUGAAUAAUUGUUUCAAGUCUGCAUUCUAAAAUUAUGUAUAACUAUAAAGCAUUGUUGCACAUGUUAGCUGCACAUGAUGUUUAACAUACUUGUUAAUUUGUGACAAGGUUACUUUUUAUAGAACAAUGGGUGAUUUUGAAAAUAUUUUUGGUGAAAUGUUACAAACUCAUUAUUCAAUUAACUAUGCAUCCUUUCCAAGAUAUAAAUUUUAAAUGUUUUUAUCAUGUCUACAGCGUAAAUGCCAUUACCACCAGACUUACAAUGGGCAGCAUGCUUUCCUUUCCCAGUGGCACGGAACGUAAAGGUGCCUAUGAGGCUUGUUGGAACAGAGAUGUAGAAGCAGCCUGUACACACUCUCGUCCGCAGGCUGAAGGUGAAGAAAAACAGCGCGUGUCAAGGACCGGAUGUUCUUUGAGAAUCUAUAAAGUGUAACCCCAGAUUUCAGCACAACUGUUUCCUCCAAACCACUUUUUCCUUGUGCUCGGUGGUCCACACUGGUUGGCAGUGUGUCUCAAGCAGAGACUGCCUGUCGGCUCCAUCAACUGAAAAAGCUACAAGUAACAUUCUAGAAGAUUCUUAGACAAUAAAGCAAAGCUGAGUAUUUCCCGGGUGGCACCAAAGCUGAUGAGAAGAAGAAAAAAGAGCCUGACAGGAAAGAAGAAGAAAAGGAAAGAAAACUCAAAGUCCCUCUGCACGGGACUGAGUCGGUGUUGUGUAUUUCAGGAGAGCGUGCAGACUGCACCCAAGGUGUGUGGCCCUUGGUGCUGCUCUCUGGAAACUACGCAGCAGUUACUGUCACACAGAAAAUUCCCUGCUGCCCCAGGCUGUGCCUCACUGCACUGCCAGCCGCAACCCCUUUGGGGUCUUUUCUCAGAGCCAGGAGCUCUGGGGAUCUUAAAUGUUAAGGCCGUAUGAGGUGUGUGGGGAGCAUGGGGAGAGGAGCUGUGUUUAGAUGUUUUUAUUUGAAGUGCUCAGGAUGAAGGACGGUGCCGGGCUGGGCUGGAAAACCCACCUCUUCGUGGAGCACGCUGCCGGCCAGCGACACCGGCCCUUGCCAGGCACCCUCCACCCCCUCUCUUGUCUCAGGCCGGAGCAGGCUGCCGUUCACUCUCGGCCUCUGCUCUCUGCUCUCUCCUCACCCCAUUCUUUCCCGGCCCAUCCUAUGUGAAUGGUUUAAAGGGAAUUACCUAUUACUUCAAUUAUUUGUUUCUUAUCAACUGAUGUUAAACUACAAGGAUUUGCAUUGAAAAGACACAAAGAAAGAGCAAGUCAUGGCACAUGGCCAAAUGAAAGAGUAAUGUUCUGGUGAAUUUAGCCUAAAUAAUUUACUGCUGUAUAAAAGUGGAAAAGUGGAAGGUGAACCCUCUGACCAAUAAAUCUCCCUGCCCAUGAAACCCUUAUCUGGUCGCCUCCGAUACAUUCCACAUGAGGAAGCCAUCACUGCUGGCUCUGGUUAGCUAUUCCUAAACCUUGAUCUUCUGCACUCCGCGUCCUAAAUAUGGAUAAUUAGCAUCAGUUUAUCACGCUUCUGCAUAUUUUCUCUUCUCUCCAAACACGCAUGCUUCUGUUGGCUGCCAUUCUGCUACGGAAGAUUAUGGAGACAGAUUGCAGAGAACGAAUGUGCUAAACGAGAUUAGGAAGGAAUAGAAAUAGCAACUUGGCCAAUAAAUUCCUCGUGAGAGCCUUAUCAUGCAAUUACACGUUGACUUGCUCCACACUCUCCUCGCCUCUUAAUCCAACGCCCCCACCAGGAAUAAAAUUUCGCUAAUUUCUGGAUUGCUGCAGAUCCCCCUGACUUGCUACUGAGAAUGGUUGGAAGGAGAAACGCUGCUGAAAACAUCAUGUCAAACUUUAUAAUAAAAAGUAAACUCUGAAUGUCAGCGUGGGUGGUGCAUUCCAGGGUGUCUGAAGCAUCUCCCAGUGAGUGAGGCUUUUGGCUUCUCUGGCUGCUCCACCUUUGGGAUUCAGGACUGUCAGAAUGGAGCGCCUUGCUCCUCGAGGGACUAUCUGAUGUGUUUCAAACCAGGACAAAGCUUCCCCUGCCUUUCUGACUUAAGACGAUGGAUGACCGAUAGCAGUUGCGAUGCCCCUCAGGCAUUCUGGGCCAAUCACUUGACCUCUAGUGCAGUCUACUCCUUGGUCGCAGGGCUGCUUCUUAUUGGAGGCCCCUCCUCGUGUGGUGCUAUGGCUUCUCAUGCUCAUUAAUGUACAGAGACAGGAAAACCCCUGCCCGUGUGUGCCUCCCGAGGGCAGCCCAGAGCUCUGUAAUAGGGCAUCCCCAGGGGGAGCUCUCCUCUUGCCUCUCUGCCUGCUAGUGUCUUCUCCCCAGGGCUUCACGAUAAGUUAGAUAUUUAAAGAGGCCACGAAGAAUUCCCGUCUACCAGAGGACUGUUCAUGGCACAGAGCCACCAUCAGGCCGUGGGGCCCCAUGGCAGCAUGGUGCUGGAGGAGCAGAGAGGCACCCACAGGACUGGGCUUGUGUUUACCACAAGGAGUGAAAGUCUAGAUCCAGUAUGAAACCAGGCACUUGGCUUGUGGCAGGGGACCGGCUUCCAGUUCGGUGGAAAGAAUUAAUUUGCCAAAGAGAUUCUCAGCAAUUAUAAGGAGAGUUUUGAUGCAUCGAUUAUAAUGUCGCCUUCACUUUCUUUCCGCCAAGAAAUUUCUACCAGGAUUCACGGAGGAGGAGAGUGUCAUGUGAACAUGCCGGAGAGAGGACCUGGGCCUUCGCCUUACAGCCAGGCCCUGAGCUCAGCACCCACUGGGAGGACCCAGCUGCCGCUCAGCUGCCAGGGUGCAGUGUGGGGAAAGCAGUCAAGCCCGCGCGGUGAUUGUGAGGGGCUCUGCUGGAAUUUGGCAGCGCGGAGGCUUGGAGCGCAGCCCCAUGCUGGCUCCUAUUCAGCGGCCGGUUCCCCUCCAGCUCUGGAAGUUUCACUCAGCCGUGCACUCAAUGGCUCCACAAAGCUGAUUACAAGCUCCAGCGCAUUCCUGAAGGAGCCAAAGCGACGCAGGUGCAAACGAGCCGAGGGAGCCCCUUAUCCCGGUGACAGAAUGGGACAAGCUGGGAAAGGCUCGGACCACACAAAUCCAGGCUCACCAGGCAGCAGAAAGCCUGCUUGGGAACCGGGGGUCAUUAUCCGACCUAUUCACGCCGGGCUGCGGCCGGGCAGGCGGGCGGGGCUCUGCGCGGGCUCCUCGCCGCCGAGGCCGCGCAAAGCCCAGCCGGCUUCGCCCGCGCGCCCGGGCCCGAGCAGCGGGAGGCUCCACGCGGGCGCCCGGGUCCCGCGGCAGGGCGCAGCGGGCAGGGCGCGCCCACGCGCCUUUGUCUGAUAACUAAUUUGAGUUAAUGCGAUCUGUAUGGAAAGCUAACAGCGGAUAAUUGUCUAUUUUCUCGCCAACAAUCUCCGUCACAGUCACUUAUCUGGAGACCUGCGGUUCGAUUAAUCGCUACGUCCCGGAAGCGCGGGCCGCACACGCGCGGUGGGCACCGGCGCCCCGCACCCUGGCCGGCGGGAGGACGUCCAGCCCCGGCCCCGCUCCCUGUCGGCCCCGCUCCCGGCCGGCCCCGCUCUGGGCCCAGCUCCCCGCGGGCGUCCCAGUGUUUACGCCUAGCCGAGCCAGGGCGGCUCGGGGACCUCGCCGCCGCUCCGAUCCCGCCUCAGCCCCGCCGGCAGAGACGGGGCGGGUGGCGGCCGCCUCUGGGGAGAGGGUUGUGUGACAGAGUUUUGUCUCCCCAGCUAAAGUCAGAACAUCAGCGUCAACUGCGAAUCGCUCGGCGCGGACUUCGCCUGUGCAGCUGAGGCCUCUGCUGCCCGAGGGACCGAGAGGGCAACUUCUCAAAGUGGAGUUUCUGGAAAACAGCAAAUUCAGACUCCACUGGGACAGUUUUGGGCCACAGAAAAAAAAGCAUUGGCUUCCUGUUUGCAGGAGACUCAAACUUCCGUGAAGGAACAGGAAAUAAAGGCGGGAAGCUGCUGUGUGUGUGGCAAAGCCGCCUGCGCUCCUCCCAGGCGCGUGCCCUGAGAUCCUGUCAAAAAGCCUUCUCCAGCCACCCUGAGGGCCCUAGGAGCAGCAGGUCGCCCCAGCUCCGCGCUCUUUCUGGCGGCCCUUGGGAGGCACCUACUUCGCCUCUCACCUGAAUCUCCCACCUCGGCCAUCUAGAGGGAUCUGUGGACAAAGCUGAGCCCAGCGACAGCCCUGGUCAGUCAGGCGGAACGGUCUAUGCAAAUCGGGGCCCGGGAACAGUGCCCCUUUGUCCUGGCCUUUCAAAGCCCGGCAGCUGGGGACUUGUGCCUUGGACCCUCGGCGCCCACAGCUAUGUCAUCAUGGCAGAACGUCAGAUGCUGAAAACUAUACGACCUGAAUUCAUGAGCAGCCUUCUUGGGAAGGUCCCCUUUCCGGUCCGCGUCAAAGCCCAGAGCCGCGUGCCGGUGGGUCAGGGCAGGUCGGCCGGACCGCUGCAGUGAGGGGAGAGGUCACCUGCCCGCCCGGCUCCCCAACCUUCCUAACUGUCCCCUGGGGCCCGCGCUGAUGUCUGACACUGGCGACCCUGAAAUGUCUCCCCAGUCCCACCUGAUGCAGAUUGCAAGUUUCGGAGACAGCAAGCAGCCGUGAUAUCCAGCUCUGGGAAUGAGCAGAGCGUCCGGCCUCUGCCUGCUCCAGAGUGCCAGGGAGGGCAUGGAAGCUCCCUGGGUGAGAGCGAACUCCAGACAGUGCUCACCAGACAGCAAACUCCUUUUUAAGCCAGCGUGCAAGGCAUGAGCUUGGGGCCCCUGUGUGGAAGUUCGACUCCCUCUGGGUCGUGGGGUCCCUCAGUGCUCCCCUUCCUGGGUGACCUUGCAGCCCCUGGGGCUGGGGACCCAUAAAUGAGACCUGGGCUGUCACCAGUGCCACGGCCCAGUGUGCGCCUGCGGGGCGGGGGGCCCCACGUUCCUGGGAGGCCCAGGGCCUGAGCUCACCCCCACCCCCGCUCCCCAGCCCUCGAGUGCUGGCCCCUGAGCUCUGAAGGGUGCCCUGCUUCUCUGGAGGAUCCUGCAGCCCAGGCCCUCUGCCUGCCGCCUCCUCGCACUGGAAAACGUUCCCAGGAAAGAGGUCACCUGGAGACGCCACCAGGUCACUUCCCAGUGAGAGCUGAGGACCCAGGGACCCAGGGAGCAUCAGAGGCAGACGUGCUGGUUCUCCCCUCCCUCCGCGGUGAGGCUGCUGCACCCCAGGCCUCUCCUGUGUGCCCCAGCUCUUCCCCGAGUGGCCAGUGCCCUCCCCAGGUGCCCCCCACCCACCAGAUGACUUCUCUUUUUUUUCCUUUCUCCCAUCCCACCCUCCUUUUUGUUUUCUUCUUUUGCAGUGUUGGUGAUUGAACCCAAGGUCUUUUCAAUGAACUACAUCCUCAGUCCCUUUUUUUUUAUUUUGAGACAGUCUUGCCAAGUUGCCCAGGCUAAGUUUGAAGUUGUGAUCCUCCUGUCUCAGCCUCCUGGAGUGCCAGGAUUAUAGCCAACCACCACCAAGCUUGCCUGUUUGACAAACUGAGGAGCGAGGGUUCAGCGGGGCUGCAACCAAAUACUACUUUGUAGUUGCAACAUGGAAGGCUGGGAAACAAACAGGAAAGGCCGCACAGGGCGUGGCCGCGUGGCCGUUGGGUUGGGAGGGUGCUGGCGCAGCUCUGACUGUCGACGCCUUUGGGCCUCGGAGCGCAGCUCCUGGGGGUCUCUGGACCUUGGAGGGCGCUGCCCAAGGCCGCACCCCCGGAGACCAGAGUUUGGGCCGUGAGCACGUGGGGUAUCCAGGGCCUGAGUCGCCUGGAGGCAGAGGCUGUGCCAGCCUGGGUCUCCGACGUCGACCCAGCCUGUGGACCACGCCUGGGUUCAGCAGCCUGCGGAACUCGAGUGCCAGAGCGGCCAAGCGGUCCGGGUGGGUGGAGCUGUGGCCGAGGGGCCUUGUCCGUCCCUGCACACAGGUCCCAGGGCUGCUGACCUCCGCAUCGGCUUGGCCCUUCUGCUCUCACACACACUCACUCCCCAGCAUCGUCUCUGCAGAUGGUCUCAGGGUUGUGGCGUCGCACACUCUCUCACACUCUCCGUCCGCCCUCAGUCUCCACAGAGCCGGUGGGGGGAUGCUGGGUGGGUGGCACCCGACUCCCAGGGCAGGGAAGCCACAAAGCCGGCAGGGGCCCCUCGUGGAGGCCCCCACGUGUGCUUCUGAGCCCCAGGCUGCCUCUCCUGUGCAGCACGGUGGUGCCGGGUCCCUGACACACAGGCCACGACCUGCCCUCCGUGCUUCCUGGUCCUGUCGGCCCUGCUCAUGACUCUUCGUCGACCACCCUUGGACGCUGCCUGGACGUGCGCUGCCAGGAAGGUGGAUGCCAGCAGGGCUGUGAGCGCAGAGACUCACGAGUGUGACGUCCGCACCCACAUAAAGAUGCUGAUGGGAAAUGCGUGGGAAACCCAUUCCUCCCCGAGUGUUGGCUACAGUGUGUGUAUUUUGGGUGUAUUGGGUCUAAUAAAAUAUAUUCUUGAAAUCAA
Molecule: non-coding RNA, 11573 nt
Organism: Heterocephalus glaber (naked mole-rat)
Lineage: Eukaryota; Metazoa; Chordata; Mammalia; Rodentia; Bathyergidae
Source: RefSeq, a predicted model, not a curated record